UUAAGCGACUAAGCGUACACGGUGGAUGCCCUGGCAGUCAGAGGCGAUGAAGGACGUGCUAAUCUGCGAUAAGCGUCGGUAAGGUGAUAUGAACCGUUAUAACCGGCGAUUUCCGAAUGGGGAAACCCAGUGUGUUUCGACACACUAUCAUUAACUGAAUCCAUAGGUUAAUGAGGCGAACCGGGGGAACUGAAACAUCUAAGUACCCCGAGGAAAAGAAAUCAACCGAGAUUCCCCCAGUAGCGGCGAGCGAACGGGGAGCAGCCCAGAGCCUGAAUCAGUGUGUGUGUUAGUGGAAGCGUCUGGAAAGGCGCGCGAUACAGGGUGACAGCCCCGUACACAAAAAUGCACAUGCUGUGAGCUCGAUGAGUAGGGCGGGACACGUGGUAUCCUGUCUGAAUAUGGGGGGACCAUCCUCCAAGGCUAAAUACUCCUGACUGACCGAUAGUGAACCAGUACCGUGAGGGAAAGGCGAAAAGAACCCCGGCGAGGGGAGUGAAAAAGAACCUGAAACCGUGUACGUACAAGCAGUGGGAGCCUCUUUAUGGGGUGACUGCGUACCUUUUGUAUAAUGGGUCAGCGACUUAUAUUCUGUAGCAAGGUUAACCGAAUAGGGGAGCCGAAGGGAAACCGAGUCUUAACUGGGCGUUAAGUUGCAGGGUAUAGACCCGAAACCCGGUGAUCUAGCCAUGGGCAGGUUGAAGGUUGGGUAACACUAACUGGAGGACCGAACCGACUAAUGUUGAAAAAUUAGCGGAUGACUUGUGGCUGGGGGUGAAAGGCCAAUCAAACCGGGAGAUAGCUGGUUCUCCCCGAAAGCUAUUUAGGUAGCGCCUCGUGAAUUCAUCUCCGGGGGUAGAGCACUGUUUCGGCAAGGGGGUCAUCCCGACUUACCAACCCGAUGCAAACUGCGAAUACCGGAGAAUGUUAUCACGGGAGACACACGGCGGGUGCUAACGUCCGUCGUGAAGAGGGAAACAACCCAGACCGCCAGCUAAGGUCCCAAAGUCAUGGUUAAGUGGGAAACGAUGUGGGAAGGCCCAGACAGCCAGGAUGUUGGCUUAGAAGCAGCCAUCAUUUAAAGAAAGCGUAAUAGCUCACUGGUCGAGUCGGCCUGCGCGGAAGAUGUAACGGGGCUAAACCAUGCACCGAAGCUGCGGCAGCGACGCUUAUGCGUUGUUGGGUAGGGGAGCGUUCUGUAAGCCUGUGAAGGUGUGCUGUGAGGCAUGCUGGAGGUAUCAGAAGUGCGAAUGCUGACAUAAGUAACGAUAAAGCGGGUGAAAAGCCCGCUCGCCGGAAGACCAAGGGUUCCUGUCCAACGUUAAUCGGGGCAGGGUGAGUCGACCCCUAAGGCGAGGCCGAAAGGCGUAGUCGAUGGGAAACAGGUUAAUAUUCCUGUACUUGGUGUUACUGCGAAGGGGGGACGGAGAAGGCUAUGUUGGCCGGGCGACGGUUGUCCCGGUUUAAGCGUGUAGGCUGGUUUUCCAGGCAAAUCCGGAAAAUCAAGGCUGAGGCGUGAUGACGAGGCACUACGGUGCUGAAGCAACAAAUGCCCUGCUUCCAGGAAAAGCCUCUAAGCAUCAGGUAACAUCAAAUCGUACCCCAAACCGACACAGGUGGUCAGGUAGAGAAUACCAAGGCGCUUGAGAGAACUCGGGUGAAGGAACUAGGCAAAAUGGUGCCGUAACUUCGGGAGAAGGCACGCUGAUAUGUAGGUGAGGUCCCUCGCGGAUGGAGCUGAAAUCAGUCGAAGAUACCAGCUGGCUGCAACUGUUUAUUAAAAACACAGCACUGUGCAAACACGAAAGUGGACGUAUACGGUGUGACGCCUGCCCGGUGCCGGAAGGUUAAUUGAUGGGGUUAGCGGUAACGCGAAGCUCUUGAUCGAAGCCCCGGUAAACGGCGGCCGUAACUAUAACGGUCCUAAGGUAGCGAAAUUCCUUGUCGGGUAAGUUCCGACCUGCACGAAUGGCGUAAUGAUGGCCAGGCUGUCUCCACCCGAGACUCAGUGAAAUUGAACUCGCUGUGAAGAUGCAGUGUACCCGCGGCAAGACGGAAAGACCCCGUGAACCUUUACUAUAGCUUGACACUGAACAUUGAGCCUUGAUGUGUAGGAUAGGUGGGAGGCUUUGAAGUGUGGACGCCAGUCUGCAUGGAGCCGACCUUGAAAUACCACCCUUUAAUGUUUGAUGUUCUAACGUUGACCCGUAAUCCGGGUUGCGGACAGUGUCUGGUGGGUAGUUUGACUGGGGCGGUCUCCUCCUAAAGAGUAACGGAGGAGCACGAAGGUUGGCUAAUCCUGGUCGGACAUCAGGAGGUUAGUGCAAUGGCAUAAGCCAGCUUGACUGCGAGCGUGACGGCGCGAGCAGGUGCGAAAGCAGGUCAUAGUGAUCCGGUGGUUCUGAAUGGAAGGGCCAUCGCUCAACGGAUAAAAGGUACUCCGGGGAUAACAGGCUGAUACCGCCCAAGAGUUCAUAUCGACGGCGGUGUUUGGCACCUCGAUGUCGGCUCAUCACAUCCUGGGGCUGAAGUAGGUCCCAAGGGUAUGGCUGUUCGCCAUUUAAAGUGGUACGCGAGCUGGGUUUAGAACGUCGUGAGACAGUUCGGUCCCUAUCUGCCGUGGGCGCUGGAGAACUGAGGGGGGCUGCUCCUAGUACGAGAGGACCGGAGUGGACGCAUCACUGGUGUUCGGGUUGUCAUGCCAAUGGCACUGCCCGGUAGCUAAAUGCGGAAGAGAUAAGUGCUGAAAGCAUCUAAGCACGAAACUUGCCCCGAGAUGAGUUCUCCCUGACUCCUUGAGAGUCCUGAAGGAACGUUGAAGACGACGACGUUGAUAGGCCGGGU
RNAcentral lists this ribosomal RNA (2844 nucleotides) under Escherichia coli. RNAcentral's name for it is "bacterial LSU rRNA". It matches the Rfam family "Bacterial large subunit ribosomal RNA". The record is from RNAcentral. Lineage: Bacteria; Pseudomonadati; Pseudomonadota; Gammaproteobacteria; Enterobacterales; Enterobacteriaceae.